CACUGCUCUAUUCGUGAUCGUUAAAAACUGGAAGCAACCAAGAUCAUCUUCAUCGAGGGAAUGGAUAAACCGUGGGAUUCCAUGAAACGGACUAUGAUUCAGGGACACAAAGGAACAAGCUGUUGAUUCACUCAGCAGCGUGGAUGAGCCUUAGACAUAUUUUGCUAAGUGAAGGACUCCAGACCCACAUAUGAUUCCUCUCACAGGGCGUUCUGGAACAAGCACAGCCCCGGGAGGGCAAGCACCAGCGGCUGCCGGGGCUAAUGGGGUGGGGGCUUAAGCUGCAGCGCGGAUGCGGCGGCCCCACCCGUGUGUGAAAACCCACGGGGCUGUACGUCCCAGAGACUGAACUGUCAUGUGUGCAAACUGAAUAAAGAAAGAAAAUAAAAACUUGUCAAACUGUAUACCUGGGAUAUUUAUAUUUCAUUGCAUGUAGACUUAACCCCUGAAACUUGAGUUUUGAUCCUGAAAAUGCUGUACUAUUAAUCAGAAACUUGGCAGGGAUGAAGGUUCCCAGGGACCAAAGCUCUUGUGGGGCCCCCGGGAGGCAGCUCCUGCUCCACCGGCUCUUUCCAGAACACUCCCUCGAGGACCACCAGCUGAGAGGACCCCACGGGCUGCCCACAGUGGGGUCUUGGGCCAGCCCCCUGGCCUUGUGCUCUCCCAGGUCAGGCCCCCCAAGCCUGCCCUCACGGCAGGACCUCCAGCCCGUGCUGGGCCCCAUCGCCCCCCUCGCCUCAUCUGGGAAAGGGGACCCAGGACGGCGCCCAAAGCCUCAGGCACGGGGCUGCUGUGGUGCUGGCGCCUGAGCUGGCUCAGGGGCUCUCCGGCCCAGAGGGCAUCUCAGGUGGCCCCUCCAGGGCAGUGUGGGCUCGGCCAGGCGGGAGCCCAUCCAGGAGCUGAGGUGGUAGUGUGGAGGGGGGCAGAAGAGGCCUCCGGGUGGGUCCUCCAUGCACAUCUGGCUCUUGCAAGAGGUGGCUACUGCCAGGGCAUGAACCAGGUCAUGGCCAUCCUGCUGAUGUUCCUGAGGAGGACGCCUUCUGGGCGCUGGUCCAGCUGAUGACAAGAAACACGCCAUGCAUGGUAGGUGACCGCCGGGGACAGCUGGGAGUGCCUCAGGGCCAGGGGUCUCCCUGCAGAGCUCCCCUGGCUGUGGGCUGGCGGGGACCUGGGCCCAGUCCAUCUCCCCAUCAGCGAAGGGCACUGGCUCCCCGUGCUGCCCUCUGGGUCCUAGAGCCACGGCCCUCAGUCCCGGCCUCGUCCGGGCAGCUCUCCCUUCCCUGCUGGUCCUUCUGCCUCACACCUGCCACCCCCCAGCGCCCUCCGAGCCCAUGGCCAGACGAAGCCCCGGCAGCAGCAACACCCCCUCCCGUGCCCCCAGCCUGGCUGCCAAGCCUAGGAGAGGGCCAGGCACACCCCCGCCACCCACCCCGUGGGCCGCACUCCCUGCCCCUCUGUACUGGGUCCCCCACCCUCUGCUGUGGCCAGGGCAAGUGCCAGGGCCGGAUGCCUGCCCACCCCUCAGCCCAGGGCGCCAGCCGAGCUGGGCCUCCGGGAGCAGGGCCUCUGCCCCGGCGGCCCCGGCCUCACAGGCUGUCCUGCCUGGGAAGAGCGUGUCCAGCCAGGGCUCAGGAGGGCCCCGCACGCUGGGGUCACCACGGGGGGCACCUGCAGUACUCAACCCUCGCUGGACACGGCUCUGACUUGUGGGGGUCUGGGGGCUCCUCGGGCUUCUUCAUCCCGGGGGUUCCCAGAACGGCUGAGACUCCAGGCCCACGAAGAGCACAUUCUAGGCAGAGCCUCCCCCAGCUGCAGCGACACCUGGUGAGUAGAAGCGUCGCCCCCCGCCCCCCACAGAGGCCCUGUCCCACGGCCACCGGGGGGGCUUGGCCUCCUGCAGGCUUCACUCUCCUUCUCCUGGGGCGGAUCAGCGGCGAGCUCGGGCCACCUGGGUCCUGGGGGCGGCUGCACGGCGUCCCGAAAUAGGGAGGUUUCCGGCCCAGCACGCAGGCCCUGAGCCCCUGUGCCCUCCAUCGGGACGAGGAGCAGAUGUCCCUGGGGACUGACACCGUCCAGUGGUUCCUGCAGGGCUUCAUCCACCAGGUAAGGCUGCCCAGGAGGCUGAGCCCCACCCCCCAGACAUGCCAUGCCCCUCCCGAGGGGCGUCCGGGGGGCAGCCCGGAGCCCUCCUGGUGGGCGCAGGGCAUCUCGAAGUCCCAGCCGUUUCUGCUUUGGCUCCCUUCAGAAGGCUGGGUCAGCCCGGGGGUGAGCAAGCCAGCGUUCUGCUCCACUGAGGUGUUCCCACCGAGCGUGGGACAGGCUCUGUUGCCCCCAGAUUAGGGGUCGUGCUGGCCAGGCCCUCAGGACCUUGAGUCCAGGAGCCACGACCCCACUGGGACGAGCCCAGCCAGGUGAGGAGCUGCAGGAGCUUGUCUGAUGCAGCCCAGGCGGACUGCAGAGGCCGGAGGCCGGUGGCGGGUUCUUACCCUGUGCUGGGACCACCACCGUGCCCUGCUCAAGCUGCCCCUCCUGGGCCUGCUGUCCCCACAGACCCCCUUUUCGCUCACCCUGAAGCUCUGGGAUGCCUACAUCCUGGAGAGCGAGCACAUGCUGACGGCCAUGGUGUACACCGUCCGCAAGGCUCCCGAGCGUGGAGUGCAGGCCGCAGAGGAGGCAGGCCGGCCAGCACGGGGGCCCAGAGGUCGCCCUCCAGAGCGCGCCCUUGGCAGUGGCCCUGCCCACGGCUCUCCCGGGCACGGCAGACCCCCAGCAAAACCUGAAGAGUUCCCCACGAGGCCCCUGGGCCUGGAGCGACCUGCCCCAGCCCCCAGGCCUCUCCUUACCCCUCCCAGCAUCAAGACGCUCCCCGGAGAAGACGGGCUGGCGCUCCCUGGCCCACCUGCCCAGCACUAGCAGCCCGGCCCCUCGCCCGGCCCGGCCAACCUGAAGGCCAAGGAGCAGCAGCACGAGGGGGCCCCGGCCGCAGGCCUCCCGCUGGGGGCCCCGGAGGCUCCGAGUCUGGCCUGCCUGUCCCCAGCCCAGAACAGUCCUCAGGAUCGGCUGCGGCCAGUGAUGGAAUUCCCUCCCAAGCCUCUCAGUGAACCAUGAGGCCACAGGCAAGUGGCCCCCAGACAUCGGCUUUGAGCCGGAAUGCUGGGUCCUCUCCCCUUCAACACCUGCCUGGGCCACGCCCAGGGCCACACGAUAGGCAUGGCCCUGCAACCCCACUGAGGUCCCAGCCACUGGCUCUGCCCAGCCCGCUGAAGACGGCACCGCCAGGGCCACGACACCCCUCCUGCCCUGUGGCAACUGCAGCCGGCACCCCUCCUGGGGCAGUGACCAGCACGGCCACGAUGGACCCAGGGCAGUGCCCCAAGAGCAAGCCCCGCACGUCCCCACAACCCCCAACCUCUGCGUCCACAAGGAAGCUGGACGCUCAGGGGCCUCCAGGGGACAAGGUGACUGUGAGCACAGUGACCCCGAGGCCCUGGGAAGACAGCGACACGCCCUGCUGCUUCACGCUGGCCUUCCCUGAGGACGGGACCCCCUCACACGGCACAAGGCCCUGACCCAGAAGCGCCUGGCCUGGUCUGAAUUUGGGCCCCGGGAAGGCAGCGGUGCUGUGAGCACCCCGACAGUUGGGAUGAUGACUAAAGGGGCCGCCCUGGCCAGUGCAGAGUCCUGCCCGAGGCCAGGCGAGCCCUCUCAGGGCUGCACGUGGCCACCUGGGGCCUGGAUGGGCCCCACAGGCCGCUUUGGUGACCUGAGGUGGCCCUGGGAGCAACAGGCCACCUCCAACGAGGGGAUGGCAGGGCCAGCCAGACGCCAGACCCCACGCAGCCACCUGGUCCCCACGGGGCGGAGCAGAGGGCGCCGCGGGACCCGGCAGGCUGUGUCCCGCCCUCCACCAAAGUCAGUUCCUGCCUUCCAGGGUCCCCAAAACUCAGGAGAUACGACCCCACCCGGAGUCCGAAGAAGCUCCCCGGCCCGCAGCCAUUCCCUAUGAAGGCCUCCCUACCAGGGAAGGGACAGUCUUUGGUCUCAGUUUCCCCCCUUGCCGGUUAAAGGUGAAUAAAGUUUCAUGUGCUAA
This is an RNA transcript of Balaenoptera musculus (blue whale), 4090 nucleotides long. It is a transcript of the gene named translation initiation factor IF-2-like, with no coding region annotated. The record is from RefSeq and is a predicted model, not a curated record. NCBI's taxonomy places the organism in Eukaryota, Metazoa, Chordata, Mammalia, Artiodactyla, Balaenopteridae. The transcript has 2 exons.